GACCAAACGCGGAAAUCCCCCAUUCCAAAGCAAAACACGCGGGUCUGCUCCCUCCCAAACUGUGCUGCUUCAAUGUGUUAUUUAAAAUAAAAAAACUGUUUUAAAAAAUCAUUUUUAUUUUUGCCCCUUUUUAAAACCCUAAUGCUCUCAAACUCUCCCUAUUUCCCUUUUUCUUUUCAGCCGAAUGGCUCUCAAAUAUCACCACUCUCGUCACACACGCCGCCGUAGACAACCAACAGAGGGUCGAAGAACCCCUCUUGCGAGGCGAAUCGAGAGAAAAAAAAGAAAAACCCUUUACAAUGAAAAAUUUGGAAGCUUUAUAGCCGAAUACAAGUAGUUUUCCUGCUGUUUUCUUGCUUAAAUCGCAAGUCGUGGUGACAUGAACGGACACGGACGUGGGCGAGCAACAAAAGAGUUGAGGGUCGUGCCUGGUGUGCCGACGUGUGUGGUGAAGAGGCGCUGAUGGACGUGGGCACAUGGUGGCUGAAGGGAGGCAGUUUCCCUCUUUGCUGAAAAAUUUGUGGGUCAAGGGUUUUUUUAAAAAUUUGGGCUUUUGUUUUAUUUGGAUUUUUAUGUAAUUGGUUAGUAUUUUGGGUUUAUUAUUUAGUGUAAUUGGACUGGCUAUUAUUUGUAAAUGGACUUAUUUAAUAUUUUGUUUUAUUUUUUGGUUUUUGUAUGUGUAUGGGCCCGGGCUAAAAAUUAGGUCUACAAUAUUAAUAUUGUAUCAUUUCGAUUUUGUACCAAUCAAUACAUGUAGAAGUCUGAAGUUAUAACAAA
This is a long non-coding RNA of Gossypium arboreum, 777 nucleotides long. RefSeq lists it as uncharacterized. The transcript is spliced from 2 exons. The record is from RefSeq and is a predicted model, not a curated record. NCBI's taxonomy places the organism in Eukaryota, Viridiplantae, Streptophyta, Magnoliopsida, Malvales, Malvaceae.